CAAGAACUAUGUUCUUGAGUUUGGGUGUCCAAAGUAGAUUUUGGAUCCUUUUGGGUGUCCAGAAUUCUGCAGAAAAGCUGAUUUUCUUGCCUACUUUGCGUCUUGAUAUCUUUCAGCUCAGACCUUUGUUUUAAAAUACGAAAGUACUUUUGUAAAGCUCAUAUAUCCAUAUUUAUGUGUGUUAAAUUUCAGAGGAUUUGGUUAACAUUUGGUUUGUCAAAUUGCUUGCCAAAAACAGUAGCAGAUUCAGCCAAAAUCUGAAAUUUUCUGGGUUUUCAGAUUUUUGCUUCAACUUUGAGAGAGCAUAACUUCCUAUCCACGGCUUUGUUUUCAAAACUUAAGCUAUGUACUUAAAUCUUGUAAUCCUAUCUUUAUAAUAGGCUUUGGUUCAUAAACUUUUGUUGGAUUUGAGUGAGUGGAAAGUGAAGCCAAAAACAACAGCUUACCCACUGUUUGGGAAGCCAUGGCUGGCCAGAGAGAGAGAGAGAGAGAGAGAGAGAGAGAGAGAGAGAGAGAGAGAGAGAGAGAGAGAGAGAGAGAGAGAGAGAGAGAGAGAG
RNAcentral lists this long non-coding RNA (557 nucleotides) under Fragaria vesca (wild strawberry). RNAcentral's name for it is "long non-coding RNA (FVES_LNC002890)". The record is from RNAcentral. Lineage: Eukaryota; Viridiplantae; Streptophyta; Magnoliopsida; Rosales; Rosaceae.